RNAcentral lists this ribosomal RNA (253 nucleotides) under uncultured bacterium. Its description in RNAcentral is "partial 16S ribosomal RNA". It matches the Rfam family "Bacterial small subunit ribosomal RNA", at positions 524 to 776 of the family's 1533-position model. The record is from RNAcentral.
GACAGAGGGGGCAAGCGUUGCUCGGAAUCACUGGGCGUAAAGGGCGCGUAGGCGGGAUGGCAAGUCAGUCGUGAAAUCUCUCGGCUCAACCGAGAAACGUCGGCUGAUACUGCCGUUCUUGAGGGAUGCAGAGGAGACUGGAAUUCCCGGUGUAGCGGUGAAAUGUGUAGAGAUCGGGAGGAACACCGGUGGCGAAGGCGGGUCUCUGGGCAUUUCCUGGCGCUGAGGCGCGAAAGCGUGGGGAGCAAACGGG